UUGUAUUUUUGCUUUUUAUAUACAAUACUCUGCCUCUUUCUCUUUCUCGCCCUUAAAUCCAAGCGCUAAUAGCUGGUGAAAAACGGGAUCAAUGUAUUCAUACAUAAAUGGGUAACAGCAAGCUUAGGCUCAACAAAUUGCUGCGUAUUAACUGCCACAAACAUCUGCGAACAAAUUCAUAACUAUCAUUAGGAUUAAUCUUGAGGCACCCAAAAGGAAGCCAUAAGCUGUGGCCACUCGAAUAUCUUAACCGGAUUCGCAUGGCCAAUUUUAUUUUGAUUUUGUACGUGUUGGUGGCUUAAGUCGGGCCUCAAUAGGAAAACAAAGGCCCCAAAGAACAUUGGCCUAAGUGACAGAAACGCAUCGGUGAAUUAGCGUGAAUUGGCCAGUUUAAAUGGCCCUUUGAAAUUGAUUCGACCAACACCAAAUCAAAUUACACAAUUAAUAGGUUCGGCAUCAAAGACAACAACAAAAAACUCGGCACAUAAUAACCGCAACGUUUAAGGCCAAAAUAUGCAAUUAGGGCCAGAAAAGGAGCUGGAGAAUGGAGAAACUUGCGUGUGUGCGCGUGAGAAAACGUCUCAAAAACCCUGCCCCGAAGUUUAAAACUUAAUCAGGCGAGAAUAAUGCAGGCAAUGAUGAGGCAGCGGAAUGCGAUAAAAAAAAAACACGUAAACUGGCAAUGUAUCAACAGACAUAAUGAAAUGCCAGUGGUCAGAAAUAACAAGCCCAAAGCGAAAGGACUCCAGAAAAGGAUGUCAGUAAAGCCGAGUCGCCGCUGCGACUGUGAAAUGCAAUAUUCCAGCGCCAAAGGCUAUGGAUAGUACAGGGAAAUGGGUUAAAAGACAAGUUGUUUCUCUCUCGAAUGAUCCCGAACUAUUGUACUUAAAAAAAAACUUUGUCAAACUUAAUUGUUAUACAACACUGACAAUUAUUUGGCUGCCAUUUGCUUUAGUCAUUUAUCGAUUACAUAUCAGGUUUUUAAAUUUUAUUGGAUGGCCAAAUUCUAUUGAGCUUACUGGCUUUGAAACCCUGUCAGACUAGCUAGCAUCAGCCUUUAGAUAUUUAUCGAUUACUUUUUUUAUACUUCCAACAAAAUUAAUUUCAAUCUUUGAUAGAUAAUUGCUAUUAAAAAGUCCAACUAAAAGCCAAA
This is a non-coding RNA of Drosophila virilis, 1153 nucleotides long. Lineage: Eukaryota; Metazoa; Arthropoda; Insecta; Diptera; Drosophilidae. The record is from RefSeq and is a predicted model, not a curated record.